RNAcentral lists this transfer RNA (90 nucleotides) under Lactobacillales bacterium. RNAcentral's name for it is "tRNA-Ser". It matches the Rfam family "tRNA". Rfam says of the family: Transfer RNA (tRNA) molecules are approximately 80 nucleotides in length. Their secondary structure includes four short double-helical elements and three loops (D, anti-codon, and T loops). Lineage: Bacteria; Bacillati; Bacillota; Bacilli; Lactobacillales. The record is from RNAcentral.
GGAGAGUUGUCCGAGCGGCCGAAGGUGCAUGAUUGGAAAUCAUGUGGGCGGGGUUUACUCGUCUCAAGGGUUCGAAUCCCUUACUCUCCG